ACACGACUACAUUAGAUACCCGGGUAGUCCUAGGCGUAAAUGAUGCGAGUUAAGUGUGGGGGCAUCUACGAGAUGGCCCUGUGCUGUAGGGUAGCCGUUAAACUCGCUGCCUGGGGAGUACGGUCGCAAGGCUGAAACUUAAAGGAAUUGGCGGGGAGCACCACAAGAGGUGGAGGCUGCGGUUCGAAUUGGACUCAACGCCGGAAACUCAUCGGGAGCGACAGCAGUAUGAUUGCCAGGUUGAUGACCUUGCUUGACAAGCUG
Molecule: ribosomal RNA, 264 nt
Filed under: uncultured archaeon
Lineage: Archaea
Description: partial 16S ribosomal RNA
Rfam family: Archaeal small subunit ribosomal RNA
Source: RNAcentral